Molecule: ribosomal RNA, 497 nt
Filed under: uncultured bacterium
Lineage: Bacteria
Description: partial 16S ribosomal RNA
Rfam family: Bacterial small subunit ribosomal RNA
Source: RNAcentral
GAUGAACGCUGGCGGCGUGCCUAAUACAUGCAAGUCGAGCGAACAGACGAGGAGCUUGCUCCUCUGACGUUAGCGGCGGACGGGUGAGUAACACGUGGAUAACCUACCUAUAAGACUGGGAUAACUUCGGGAAACCGGCGCUAAUACCGGAUAACAUGUUGAACCGCAUGGUUCAACAGUGAAAGACGGUCUUGCUGUCACUUAUAGAUGGAUCCGCGCCGCAUUAGCUAGUUGGUAAGGUAACGGCUUACCAAGGCAACGAUGCGUAGCCGACCUGAGAGGGUGAUCGGCCACACUGGAACUGAGACACGGUCCAGACUCCUACGGGAGGCAGCAGUAGGGAAUCUGCCGCAAUGGGCGAAAGCCUGACGGAGCAACGCCGCGUGAGUGAAGAAGGUCUUCGGAUCGUAAAACUCUGUUAUUAGGGAAGAACAAAUGUGUAAGUAACUAUGCACGUCUUGACGGUACCUAAUCAGAAAGCCACGGCUAACUACGUG